Molecule: transfer RNA, 84 nt
Filed under: Coraliomargarita sp. CAG:312
Lineage: Bacteria; Pseudomonadati; Verrucomicrobiota; Opitutia; Puniceicoccales; Coraliomargaritaceae
Description: transfer RNA-Leu(TAA)
Rfam family: tRNA
About the family: Transfer RNA (tRNA) molecules are approximately 80 nucleotides in length.
Source: RNAcentral
GCUCGGGUGGCGGAAUGGUAGACGCAGCGGACUUAAAAUCCGCCGAGUAAAAUCGUACGGGUUCAAGUCCCGUCCCGAGUACCG